AACGACUCUCGGCAACGGAUAUCUCGGCUCUUGCAUCGAUGAAGAACGUAGCGAAAUGCGAUACUUGGUGUGAAUUGCAGAAUCCCGUGAACCAUCGAGUUUUUGAACGCAAGUUGCGCCUGAGACCUUUAGGUCGAGGGCACGUCUGCCUGGGC
Molecule: ribosomal RNA, 155 nt
Filed under: Coptidium pallasii
Lineage: Eukaryota; Viridiplantae; Streptophyta; Magnoliopsida; Ranunculales; Ranunculaceae
Description: 5.8S ribosomal RNA
Rfam family: 5.8S ribosomal RNA
About the family: 5.8S ribosomal RNA (5.8S rRNA) is a component of the large subunit of the eukaryotic ribosome. It is transcribed by RNA polymerase I as part of the 45S precursor that also contains 18S and 28S rRNA.
Source: RNAcentral